Molecule: ribosomal RNA, 255 nt
Filed under: uncultured bacterium
Lineage: Bacteria
Description: partial 16S ribosomal RNA
Rfam family: Bacterial small subunit ribosomal RNA
Source: RNAcentral
UACGGGGGGUGCGAGCGUUGUCCGGAAUCACUGGGCGUAAAGGGCGCGUAGGUGGUGGCUUAAGCGUGCGGUGAAAGCUCGGGGCUCAACUCCGAGUCGGCCGUGCGAACUGGGCUCACUGGAGCAUAGUAGAGGCAGGUGGAAUUCCGGGUGUAGCGGUGGAAUGCGUAGAGAUCCGGAAGAACACCGGUGGCGAAGGCGGCCUGCUGGGCUAUGGCUGACACUGAGGCGCGACAGCGUGGGGAGCAAACAGGG